CAGUAGCCGCGGGAAUACGAAGGGGGCUAGCGUUGCUCGGAAUGACUGGGCGUAAAGGGCGCGUAGGCGGAUUGUUUAGUUAGGCGUGAAAUUCCUGGGCUUAACCUGGGGACUGCGCUUAAUACAGGCAGUCUAGAGUGAGGAAGAGGGUUGUGGAAUUCCCAGUGUAGAGGUGAAAUUCGUAGAUAUUGGGAAGAACACCGGUGGCGAAGGCGGCAACCUGGUCCUUGACUGACGCUGAGGCGCGAAAGCGUGGGGAGCAAACAGGAUUAGAUACCCGGGUAGUCCCUGUCUCUUAUAC
RNAcentral lists this ribosomal RNA (301 nucleotides) under uncultured bacterium. Its description in RNAcentral is "partial 16S ribosomal RNA". It matches the Rfam family "Bacterial small subunit ribosomal RNA", at positions 509 to 807 of the family's 1533-position model. The record is from RNAcentral.